This 74-nucleotide transfer RNA is filed under the name Symphalangus syndactylus (siamang). RNAcentral describes it as "tRNA-Thr (AGT) (tRNA-Thr-AGT-3-1)". It matches the Rfam family "tRNA". Rfam says of the family: Transfer RNA (tRNA) molecules are approximately 80 nucleotides in length. Their secondary structure includes four short double-helical elements and three loops (D, anti-codon, and T loops). Further hydrogen bonds mediate the characteristic L-shaped molecular structure. tRNAs have two regions of fundamental functional importance: the anti-codon, which is responsible for specific mRNA codon recognition, and the 3' end, to which the tRNAs corresponding amino acid is attached (by aminoacyl-tRNA synthetases). tRNAs cope with the degeneracy of the genetic code in two manners: having more than one tRNA (with a specific anti-codon) for a particular amino acid; and 'wobble' base-pairing, i.e. permitting non-standard base-pairing at the 3rd anti-codon position. Lineage: Eukaryota; Metazoa; Chordata; Mammalia; Primates; Hylobatidae. RNAcentral also lists the same sequence under 1 other name. The record is from RNAcentral.
GGCUCUGUGGCUUAGUUGGUUAAAGCGCCUGUCUAGUAAACAGGAGAUCCUGGGUUCGACUCCCAGCGGGGCCU